Molecule: ribosomal RNA, 457 nt
Filed under: uncultured bacterium
Lineage: Bacteria
Description: bacterial SSU rRNA
Rfam family: Bacterial small subunit ribosomal RNA
Source: RNAcentral
AACGAACGCUGGCGGCAUGCCUAACACAUGCAAGUCGAACGGGAUCCUAGCUUGCUAGGUGAGAGUGGCGGACGGGUGAGUAACACGUGGGAAUCUGCCUUUUGGUUCGGGAUAACCGCGGGAAACUGCGGCUAAUACCGAAUGCCCUCGAGAGAGGAAAGAUUUAUCGCCAGAAGAGGAGCCCGCGUCCGAUUAGGUAGUUGGUGGGGUAAAGGCCUACCAAGCCGACGAUCGGUAGCUGGUCUGAGAGGAUGAUCAGCCACACUGGGACUGAGAUACGGCCCAGACUCCUACGGGAGGCAGCAGUGGGGAAUAUUGGACAAUGGGGGCAACCCUGAUCCAGCAAUGCCGCGUGAGUGAUGAAGGCCUUAGGUUGUAAAGCUCUUUUGCCAGGGAAGAUGAUGACUGUACCUGGAGAAUAAGCCCCGGCUAACUUCGUGCCAGCAGCCGCGGUAAU